RNAcentral lists this long non-coding RNA (556 nucleotides) under Rattus norvegicus (Norway rat). RNAcentral describes it as "long non-coding RNA NONRATT021970". Lineage: Eukaryota; Metazoa; Chordata; Mammalia; Rodentia; Muridae. The record is from RNAcentral.
GAAGAAGCUGCUGACGAAGCUGAGCAGCUCAAGGCUGAGGAGGAAAGAGAGCUCAGCAGCAUCCCAGAGGAGGAGGUCAAAUUCGACCCCACGGUGGACACCGUCACACAGAAGAUUUCCGACCCUGAAGAGGAAGAGUCCCAAACCACCCAGUUUGAACUGGAGAGGAAGUUGCUGAGCGAAACAGUCUCACACAGCUGAGCCUGAUAGAGAAUGUUUUGGAAAUGCCAGAAACCUUGGAACCCUACGAGGUGAACAUGUGCCAUUUCGCCCCCCUGGGCGGCGUGUACCACCUGGAAAUCCUGGAGUUGCCCCCUCAAAGCAAACCAGUGAAGGGCUGGGUGUUAGCAGAGGUAGGUAGGAGACUCCUUGGGUCCAUUACAGGUGAGGUACAAGAGUCCUCCACUACAGGUGAGGUAGGAGACUCCCCGGGAUCAAUUACAGAUGAAAUGGCCUCAUUUUUACUUCAAUUCCCACGACCUCAGCAUCUAACUCAUGUUAAUCCUAUCUUGGGAGAACUUCUUACCCAUGAACUUGUUUGUAAACCUACACUAUU